This 517-nucleotide ribosomal RNA is filed under the name uncultured eukaryote. Its description in RNAcentral is "SSU rRNA". It matches the Rfam family "Eukaryotic small subunit ribosomal RNA", at positions 22 to 548 of the family's 1831-position model. The record is from RNAcentral.
AGUCAUAUGCUUGUCUCAAAGACUAAGCCAUGCAUGUCUAAGUAUAAAUGAUAUACAGUGAAACUGCGAAUGGCUCAUUAAAACAGUUAUAGUUUAUUUGGUAAUCGAAUUUACAUGGAUAACCGUGGUAAUUCUAGAGCUAAUACAUGCUGUAAAGCCCGACUUCACGGAAGGGCCGUAUUUAUUAGAUAACAGACCAAUAUUCCUCGUGUCUAUUGUGAUGAAUCAUAGUAACUAAUCGGAUCGCAUGGGCUAGUCCCGCGACAAACCAUUCAAGUUUCUGCCCCAUCAGCUUUCGAUGGUAGUGUAUUGGACUACCAUGGCUUUUACGGGUAACGGAGGAUUAGGGUUCGAUUCCGGAGAGGGAGCCUGAGAAACGGCUACCACAUCUAAGGAAGGCAGCAGGCGCGUAAAUUACCCAAUCCUAAUUCAGGGAGGUAGUGACAAGAAAUAACGGGUCGGGGCUAUGCCCCGGGACUGCAAUGAGAUGAAUUUACACCCCUUUUCGAGUAACAAU